This 500-nucleotide ribosomal RNA is filed under the name uncultured bacterium. RNAcentral's name for it is "partial 16S ribosomal RNA". It matches the Rfam family "Bacterial small subunit ribosomal RNA", at positions 30 to 523 of the family's 1533-position model. The record is from RNAcentral.
AUUGAACGCUGGCGGCAUGCCUUACACAUGCAAGUCGAACGGCAGCACGGGAGCAAUCCUGGUGGCGAGUGGCGAACGGGUGAGUAAAGUAUCGGAACGUGCCCAGUCGUGGGGGAUAACGUAGCGAAGGUUACGCUAAUACCGCAUACGAUCUAUGGAUGAAAGCGGGGGAUCGCAAGACCUCGCGCGAUUGGAGCGGCCGAUAUCAGAUUAGGUAGUUGGUGGGGUAAAGGCUCACCAAGCCAACGAUCUGUAGCUGGUCUGAGAGGACGACCAGGCACCAUGGGACUGAGACACGGCCCAGACUCCUACGGGGGGCAGCAGUGGGGAAUUUUGGACAAUGGGUGAAAGCCUGAUCCAGCCAUGCCGCGUGCAGGAUGAAGGCCUUCGGGUUGUAAACUGCUUUUGUACGGAACGAAAAGGUUUGGCCUAAUAAGCUGAGCUCAUGACGGUACCGUAAGAAUAAGCACCGGCUAACUACGUGCCAGCAGCCGCCGCCG